CAUAACUUUAAAUGCUAAAAAAAUAUUAUUUCAAAGUACGAUAAUUUUUUAACACAAACGAUAAUUUUGCGGCCCUGAGCCGAUAAUGCUCUCUGCUAGAAAUGCCAAUACUGGGCAAAAUGCAGUAAAUUGCCGUAACUCGGAUCCAUCAGGAGUAAUAUGAGUUGUAGUGUAAUGUAAAGUGCAUAAAACGAUAAAAUCGGCACAUAGAUAUUUUGAGCAUCUUGUCAACUCUCAAUAAAUGGAGCAAAAAAAAGGAAUGCUAAAUGUAUUAGAUACUGGAUCGACGCUGAUUAGUUUCAACUUGCUCAUUUACACUUAUCUGAUAUUGGCUGGUUGUGAUCAAGCAUACAUUGAAACUACGAGUUUAAAUGCAGAUUCUUCAGAGGUAGACACCUUAGAUGAAGUUCGCGGCUUUAACAAAAACGAUAAUAUAUUUGAAUUUCUUCAUGAAAAUAAAUAUAAGUAAUUCCGUUAUUAAAUUAUUAAGGGCGUCAAAAUUGUAACUUUGCCCGAAUUUUUAACAAAGUAUCUAUGAAUUCGAAAUUAUCAGUGACAAGACGAAAAAGUCAUAGUUUAAAUUUUUUUUUAACGAAUUGAAUUUUUUGAGAGUUUUCGGGAGCGUCAAAGUUGGAAAUUUUUGUACUUAGACCAAAAGGCCUACAAUAUUGAAAUUUGAAAUAAAUAUUAACUACGAUACUAGAAAAGUGAUAUUGAAAAUUUUUUCUUAGUAGAGUGAUAUAUCCUGGCUAUCAAGCAAGACCUGUUCUAAGCUCACUAGAUUUAAUUACCGACCUAUAGUCUAUUCCUAAAAUAAGGUAUCCUAAUUCCCAACAAUCAGAGUGCCUUAAGUAGAUAAUUAUAAUAAUUUAAAAGUAUAUAAUAAAUAAUAAGAAUAUCAUUAACUAACAUAUAUUUAUCAAA
This is a long non-coding RNA of Microplitis demolitor, 924 nucleotides long. RefSeq lists it as uncharacterized. NCBI's taxonomy places the organism in Eukaryota, Metazoa, Arthropoda, Insecta, Hymenoptera, Braconidae. The transcript is spliced from 3 exons. The record is from RefSeq and is a predicted model, not a curated record.